RNAcentral lists this ribosomal RNA (459 nucleotides) under uncultured Planctomycetota bacterium. Its description in RNAcentral is "uncultured planctomycete partial 16S ribosomal RNA". The record is from RNAcentral. Lineage: Bacteria; Pseudomonadati; Planctomycetota.
ACUACCGGGGUAUCUAAUCCCGUUCGCUACCCUAGCUUUCGUGCCUCACGUCAGAAAAGAUCCAGUGAUGCGCUUUCGCCACCGGUGUUCCCUAUGAUAUCAACGCAUUCACCGCUCCACCAUAAGUUCCCAUCACCCCUAUCUUCCUCGAGCUUGGGGGUUUGAAACGCAAUUCCACGGUUGAGCCGUGGGCUUUCACAUCUCACCUACCAAGCCGCCUACGCACGCUUUAAGCCCAGUGAUACCGAAAACGUUUGGACGGUUCGUCUUACCGCGGCUGCUGGCACGAACUUAGCCCGUCCUUCCUCUGAAGAUCGGUCAACCAUGAAGAUAACUCUCAUGGACUUCCUAACUACUGACAGCGGUUUACAACCCGAGGGCCUUCUCCCGCAGCGGCGUCCUCGGUCAACUUUCUCCUUGCCGAAAUCCUCACUGCCCCGGGCGGGGGCGGCGGGCCGG